AACACGGAAGAUAAGCUCGCCUGCGUAUCGGCAAGUACUGGAGUGGGCGACCCUCUGGGAACGUCGAUUCGCCGCCUCCA
RNAcentral lists this ribosomal RNA (80 nucleotides) under Natrinema limicola JCM 13563. Lineage: Archaea; Methanobacteriati; Methanobacteriota; Halobacteria; Halobacteriales; Natrialbaceae. The record is from RNAcentral.